Molecule: ribosomal RNA, 528 nt
Filed under: uncultured Actinomycetes bacterium
Lineage: Bacteria; Bacillati; Actinomycetota; Actinomycetes
Description: bacterial SSU rRNA
Rfam family: Bacterial small subunit ribosomal RNA
Source: RNAcentral
AGAGUUUGAUCAUGGCUCAGGACGAACGCUGGCGGCGUGCUUAACACAUGCAAGUGGAGCGACGAACCAGGCUUCGGCCUGGGGCAGAGCCGCGAACGGGUGAGUAACACGUGGGUAACCUGCCCUAAUGACUGGGACAACCCGGGGAAACUCGGGCUAAUACCGGAUGUGCUGCUCCCACACCAGUGGGAGUAGGAAAGGAAGCUUCGGCCUCCGCAUUAGGAUGGGCCCGCGGCCCAUUAGCUUGUUGGUGAGGUAACGGCUCACCAAGGCUUCGAUGGGUAGCUGGUCUGAGAGGACGAUCAGCCACACUGGGACUGAGACACGGCCCAGACUCCUACGGGAGGCAGCAGUGGGGAAUCUUGCGCAAUGCGCGAAAGCGUGACGCAGCAACGCCGCGUGGGGGAAGACGGCCUUCGGGUUGUAAACCCCUUUCAGGAGGGACGAAGCCCAAGCGGUGAAUAGCCGCCUUGGGUGACGGUACCUCCAGAGGAAGCCCCGGCUAACUACGUGCCAGCAGCCGCGGUA